UAGUGGCGAACGGGUGAGUAACACGUGGGCAAUCUGCCCUUCACUCUGGGACAAGCCCUGGAAACGGGGUCUAAUACCGGAUAACACCUGCCCGGGCAUCCGGGUGGGUUAAAAGCUCCGGCGGUGAAGGAUGAGCCCGCGGCCUAUCAGCUUGUUGGUGAGGUAGUGGCUCACCAAGGCGACGACGGGUAGCCGGCCUGAGAGGGCGACCGGCCACACUGGGACUGAGACACGGCCCAGACUCCUACGGGAGGCAGCAGUGGGGAAUAUUGCACAAUGGGCGAAAGCCUGAUGCAGCGACGCCGCGUGAGGGAUGACGGCCUUCGGGUUGUAAACCUCUUUCAGCAGGGAAGAAGCGAAAGUGACGGUACCUGCAGAAGAAGCGCCGGCUAACUACGUGCCAGCAGCCCGCGGUAAUACGUAGGGCGCAAGCGUUGUCCGGAAUUAUUGGGCGUAAAGAGCUCGUAGGCGGCUUGUCACGUCGGGUGUGAAAGCCCGGGGCUUAACCCCGGGUCUGCAUUCGAUACGGGCUAGCUAGAGUGUGGUAGGGGAGAUCGGAAUUCCU
This 565-nucleotide ribosomal RNA is filed under the name Streptomyces sp. 316F12. Its description in RNAcentral is "bacterial SSU rRNA". It matches the Rfam family "Bacterial small subunit ribosomal RNA", at positions 93 to 671 of the family's 1533-position model. Lineage: Bacteria; Bacillati; Actinomycetota; Actinomycetes; Kitasatosporales; Streptomycetaceae. The record is from RNAcentral.